This 257-nucleotide ribosomal RNA is filed under the name uncultured bacterium. RNAcentral's name for it is "partial 16S ribosomal RNA". It matches the Rfam family "Bacterial small subunit ribosomal RNA", at positions 337 to 611 of the family's 1533-position model. The record is from RNAcentral.
UCCUACGGGGCGCAGCAGUGGGGAAUAUUGCACAAUGGGGGAAACCCUGAUGCAGCGACGCCGCGUGAGUGAAGAAGUAUUUCGGUAUGUAAAGCUCUAUCAGCAGGGAAGAAAAUGACGGUACCUGACUAAGAAGCCCCGGCUAACUACGUGCCAGCAGCCGCGGUAAUACGUAGGGGGCAAGCGUUAUCCGGAUUUACUGGGUGUAAAGGGAGCGUAGGUGGCAUGGUAAGCCAGAAGGGAAAACACGGGGCUCA